AAAAAAAGGACACAAACGGGGUGUCAAUGGUAAAACCCAAAGAGCAUGACAAGGAAGAUGAUAUGGGGUUCAACGGUGCGUCAGUCGAGGAUGAUGAUAAUUCAGAAUCAGACGAGGGUACGACCGAGACAUCUUCAGAGGAUGAAAAGAGGCGGCCUCUAAGCAGAACAGCCGUAAUAUGUACCUGUUGUUUUUGUGUGAAGCAAGAUGUUAAAAAAAAGUCUGUAAAAAGUGAAGAGAGUGACCAGAAAAGCGGUGAAGAAAAAGAGGAUGCAGUUAUGGUUGAUAUUGUUAGAGCUGUUGUAGUAAAAGCCUUUUACCACUGUUUGAAAAAACAACUUUUGGAAAACUGUGCAGCCUGCGCUGUAAAUAAGUCCAACCCUUUUAGUCACCCUUGUAUCUUUUGGGAUCGCUCAGAAGUAUUUUACCAGCUUAGACGUAUUUCUUCUAAACUGAACGCGGCCCAGCUGGUAAAUGUAAUUAUAGCUGAAGGCUACAAACUGAAAAAGCUUAACAUAACCACUGAAACUAUAACCAAAGUUGUUAAAAUGAUUAGGGAGGUUGGAAAAUCAUCUGACCCGGUGGCCUUGCUGGUAGACCUGUCAAAAGAGGUGGCCCCCUAUAUUGGCCGAGCGGUGUGUAGCAGGGUUCGCCAAAUGGAUUAUAAAACUUUUUACAUGCAAGGUUGUGACCCUAGAGGCUUAAAAAAUAUAUAUUAAUUAAAAUGCAUUGUUAAAAAAACUGUAUCACAGUUUUUAUAUUAUUUUUCUUAACCGUUAAAAAUGUAUGUAAUUGUAUCGUAUAUUACUUUACUGCCGCUUUAAAAGUCAAAUGUGUAUAAACGUUGUUGUGUUAAAUAAAAACAAAAGCAGAAACAAA
Long non-coding RNA from Gopherus evgoodei (Goodes thornscrub tortoise), 879 nucleotides. RefSeq lists it as uncharacterized. The transcript has 3 exons. The record is from RefSeq and is a predicted model, not a curated record. Lineage: Eukaryota; Metazoa; Chordata; Testudines; Testudinidae.